Molecule: long non-coding RNA, 1290 nt
Organism: Haliotis rufescens (red abalone)
Lineage: Eukaryota; Metazoa; Mollusca; Gastropoda; Lepetellida; Haliotidae
Exons: 3
Source: RefSeq, a predicted model, not a curated record
GUAAAACAUGAAGUACAUAUUAUUCCUCGCUGUAUCGGCAGUUGCUGUCGCCUUGGUGUGGAGCGAAUCAUGACACUUACACAACUCUGCGCUGCACCAACGAAGAGUGCACCAACACGCAUGCAUCAUGUAUCCAGGUUUCGCCAAGGGUGGGACAUUGCUCAAAAUACGACAGGCUUCUCUGCAGGCCGCCGUCAUAUACAUUGAGGAUGGAAUAUUGCUGAGGUCGUGAAACAACAAAAUACUGUUCCUUGACAGAGUUGCUGAUGCAGAUGACUGUCAUACUCACCGACAGCAACUGCCGAUACAGCGAGGAAUAAUAUGUACUUCAUGUUUUACGGAAACGAUUUAAUCUGAACAUUGUGACCAGGGACACGCCUUUUAUACUGCACAAUGCCUGCACCCAUAAAUUAUCUUAAGCGCGUUGUCUAAAACAGGUGACACUUUCCCAAUUCCACAAAGUAUUUGAUUUACACUUUAGGGGAUAGUCCGAGUUUGUUUCUGUUUCUGUUGCUAACCUCAUCGUAACCCUUACGACAGUAUAUGCAUUUGUUCAUUUUGGGAUGCAUGACGUAUUAUAUAUUAUAUAACCGAGCUGCACUGUCGGCUCGACUCGCAAUGCAGAGUUGCAUCCUUUUAGUGUGCCAGGCACCGAUACUCGUAAGUUCGAAUAUCAAAUUCCACCUGAUCAAAAUUCUUGGUUUGCCAGAACUAUACCUGUGCUCGUGGGUUUCACAUGUUCAAAUCCUAGGACUUUGGGCAUUCCUCAUACAUUAAGCUGACACGCCGCGAUAUAGGGCUUAAAUGACAUAAUGUUUAAUUUCUGAGCAUCCUUGUAUAUUAAGAGUGUAAUGUGUGAGUGAGUGAGUUAAAAUUUAACGUCAAAUCGGCAAUAUCGUGACGGUAACUUGUACAUUUAUAAUGAAUACAUUCAGAUUGAAUAAAAACUUCUCAGCGAUGGACAGUAUAAUAAUUAAAAACAUUUAAAAAAGAAAUUUAAAUUCAACAACACAAUACAAAUAUGGGCUAUAGAUCGCCAGUAACCAAAGUGAGGCAACCAUUUCAGGGACCUUGGGGACUUACAAUACUUCUGCUACCUGCACGAUUCCCCAUGGCCAGCAGGAUUUACACCAUCAAUGUAAAAUGGCAAAUAUACUACUGUUAAAAUUUUGACAUGCAUAAAAAUACUUUGAAUAACGUGGAACUUCCACACCCUCAUUGGGGGACAAUAAUUUUAUGCUGCUUCAAUCCCCUUUGAGGGUACAACCACUAACAAUCUUAGUUACUAAU